UCGGACGUGGUGCACGGUGUACACCUGCGGCUAUUGACUUUGCCUUUCUUGGUAUACCGAAGCAGGCAACGCCUGGGUUCGACUCCCAGCGUCCGAA
Non-coding RNA from Mycena metata, 97 nucleotides. The record is from the annotation of a GenBank genome assembly. Lineage: Eukaryota; Fungi; Basidiomycota; Agaricomycetes; Agaricales; Mycenaceae.